Long non-coding RNA from Zonotrichia albicollis (white-throated sparrow), 4673 nucleotides. The record is from Ensembl. Lineage: Eukaryota; Metazoa; Chordata; Aves; Passeriformes; Passerellidae.
AUGGGUACCACACUCAGCUGGGGGCUGGAUCACCUCAGAGGUUGGGGCAGAACAGGGCUGGGGAGAUGAGUAGGGAAAGUACAAACCCUAGAAUGUCUUUAAUGGUACAGUAUGGGUGGAAGGGGAUUUUCUUGCAGUCUGAGGGGAUGCCUAGUGGGUUAUUUGAGCCUGUUUCGUGGAGGAAGGUGAGAUGGACAAGUUUGUCCCCUCCACCCCGUGCACAGAGCUGGGACUGGUGGCCAGGAACCCCCAUCCCAGUGGCUGUUUGACCUCAGAGAAUGCACAGCAGUUGGUGGUGAGUGUGGCCAACCUAUGACUCUGCAGCCACAGAAUUGGCUACGCCCACCCUCUCCCAAUUUUUGUGUCCUUGGGGGGCUUCUGCUCUCACUCCCUGUUCCCCCCAAGCCCAGGGUGGGCAGUGCAUGGCUGGGCUGGAGUCUGGGGCAGCAGGAGGGAGGUGGUGGGAGACCCCCCUGGCUCCUUUAAGAACCCACGAGCGGCUCCAGAAAGCGGCUCAAGGUCACAGCGGGAACCUGCGGACUUGGCAGCAGCCAGCGAGGGAGGAGGGAUGGAGGGAGGGAGGGAGAGAAGGAGGCAGCCCGAGAUCAAAAUGAAAUCACAGCCAGGGAGAGGGGCUGGCUGGCAGCACGGAGCAGGCAGCAGGGAAAGGGGGAGCAGCUGAGCAGGACAUGAGGGGAGUCCCACCCAUGGGUGUCCCCCUGGGAUUGCUGCCGCCCCAACCCCAGCACAGAGCUCUGAAGCUUCUCUGUGCCCCCAGCUCAGAGCCCUGGGCCCUCUGCAGCUCCAGCCAAUGUGCCCAUGGUGAUUCAAGCCAAGGAAAGUCCCUUUGUGCCCCCGGAGCCACCCUGGGAGUGCUGGAGUCACUUCCCUCCCGCGGGACUUCCUGGGCUCCACAGGAGGUUUUCCAGCUCCAGGAGGGGCAGGGCAGGAGGAAGCUGCUCCUGGCCGGGAGAACCUUUGGAACCACCCUCACCAGAGACCACAGUGGACAAAAUCAAAUCUUUAAAGGCUCAAGGAGCUCGGCACCAUUAACAUUCACUCCCAACGCGUGUGAGCUGUGCUGCAUCCCCAAGUGCUGCUCCUGCUGCCAGCCCUGGUACCCAGCCUGGCCAUCAGCUUCUCCUUCCAACAGCCUGGGCUGGGAGAACCCCUCCACCCCCUAAAUCCACUCCUGGAGUCCCCUAAAUCCACACCUGGAAUCCCCCACACCCACACCUGGAAUCCCACAGCUGGAAUCCCCCACAUCCACACCUGGCUGCUGUCACAGCACAGCAAAGGAGGAUGGCAUCCUGAGCUCCAGCUCUGCUCUGCAGAUUAAAGCCAAGGGGCUCUGGGAAGAACACCCAAGGCAGAGGAAUUGCCAAGAGUUACCGGGUUUGGUGAUUUAAGUCAAGCAGAUUGGUGACCUGGGGCUUUCCUGGAGUGACAAUUUGCAGGCUUGCUUUUCAUUAAUAAUGGUUAACUAACAAAUUACUGUUGUUAUUAUUACUAUUAUUACUGUUAUUAUCAUUAAUGUUAUUAAAUAUUGCAGGCCAGGCUGCCUUCCCUGUGCUUGGCACAGCCUCAUCCAUCCAGCCUUGGCUCUGAGUGCUCCAUAGGUCUGUGUAGAUUCAUGUGCAAUCUAUAGAAUCUAUACAGGAAGGUGUUUGAUCUGAGUUUGCUUUCUUUGCUUAGAUGAGCUCUGAAGGGGCCCAAGAGCUUGGGAAAUUGGGAACAGAGGAAACUGGAGCCUGGUGGGUUUAAUGGUUGGCUGGAUUGUGGUGGGGAGCACCAUGACCUGUGCCCAAACCCAGCUGGGUUUCACCCCUGGGGUUCCCCAAAAGCUUUUCCAGCCCCCAUUUCAGGCCCUUUUUUCCUACACAGGUGCCCCAGCAGCAGCACUAACCCACAGGUGCAGCCACUUGCUUUGCAUCCAAAGGGAUGCUGAUGGGCAGUACCAUUCCCAGGCAGGAAAAAGAAACUUUUGGAUGCUGUGAAGGCAGCGGUGGCAGCACCUGCCUGUGUGCAGGCAUUGAGCUCACCUGGCCCACCACGAUGAACCAUUUCCUUCCUGAACACGAGCCCUCCGGGAUGUCCUGCCUGGGAAAUGAAAUCAGCUCUGAAUGGGAAGUGCAACCAAGGCUGGCCCAGCCCAGGAAGAAAAAGGGCAGCAAAAGAAAAACAAAUUCAGAAGCUGGAAUGGAAAAAACAAAAAAGUUAAAUGCUGUGCGUGCUGCUGUCCCUGUCACUCCCCCAAUCCCACAGCCACGGUCGGGAAGGCUGGCUUGUUCCACCAGGGUGGUGCAGAAAGGGUGAUUUUUCCUUUAGCAGGAUUCCUGCUUCACCACAGUCCUUUUCCUCCAGCCCUGGCUCUGGAGCAGGGAGCAGCUGGGUGCUGAGCCCGCCGCAGCCCAGGCGGGCGAGGGCAAGCAGGCGUGAGCUGAGACGGGGAGCCGAGAGCUUUAUUUUUAGUCCUGGUUUAACAAGUAUUAAUUAAUAAGAGUGCAAAUGCUAAUGCCGAGAUGACACAAACUGCGUUGCCUGAAAUGAAUGUUUGGGGCUUGUCUGUGCCAGGAUUUACAGCCGGGUGGGUUCACGGGGGCGAAAUCAUUGCUCAAACUGCAAGGAUAAGCUGAGCCGGCUCCUUCGCACGNNNNNNNNNNNNNNNNNNNNNNNNNNNNNNNNNNNNNNNNNNNNNNNNNNNGGAUCGGGGCUGGGCUCGGGGCUGGCUCCGCAGCAGCGCCUUGUGGUGCCACACCAGCUCGUCCCUGCCUGCCCAAAUCUCCCAGCAAGUUUUGCAAAGUGCGGGUUAUUUCAGGCUCUGCCCGUCGGAGGUGCAGGGUCGUGCCUCGCAGUGGGAUUCUUUCAGCUAGUGAAGACUUCAGUCUUUGGAGAAAAGGAUUCUCUUUCCCCUGGUCAAAUCCCUCUGUCCUGCUCAUUUCCUCCUGCAUCUUCUUGCCCUGAGAGCUGGGCUUGGCUGGAGGGCUGGCAGGAGAAUGAGGAGGUGAAGAAACAACCCAUGGCAUAAAGACUUGACUAGUUUUUCCCACCAGCACGAGCAUUCUGUCUGGUUUUGUUGGCAUCACAGAAAUUAUGAACUUGAAGCAGCUCCAUCACUGUUAAGGCUGUUUUAGGAUGAUUUUAGGUUUCCAGUGAGGUGCUGUGAGACAGUGAUGGUGGCUUGGGGUCCUGUGGGUUGUCCAGCGAGUUAAACCUCUCCAGUGGGGUUGUUGAAUCAGAGGGAAGAGCUCAGUUAGGCCAGAUCCAGGCCAGGUUUUCCUCUUUCUUUCUCCUCUCAACUGCAGGCAGGAGGGAGCUGCUACCUGCCUGACACAGCUGCUGCUGCUGCUUUGGAAGCCCAGCUGCCUCCAGCGAGCCCUGCUCAGCCAGGAUGGCAGGGCAGAGAGCUGGGCAGUGUGGCCAGUGCAAAUAUACCAUGCACUGGGAGCCAGGGACACUGCUCGGUGCCCACACUGCAUCCUCCCUCUGCAUCCUCCCAGGGCACACCUCAUCCUCCCCAGAGUGCUCGCUGCAUCCCCCAGCAGAGACAGAACCUGGCAGGACCCCCAUAGAGGGACUGGAUCCCUCAGCCUUGCCAUGCCAGGGCUCUCCCUGUCACCUGAGGGGGCUCAGCUGCCAUUUUGGGAAAGCCAAGAGGGGCUGAGCUGUUUUUUCCAAUGGGCUGGAAGGAUACAGCACUGAGAGUGGGCAGGGAGGUGUCACUCACCAGGGUGAUGUGGUGGGACUGUGGGGGGCUGCACUGGGGCUCAGCAGUGUCAUAAAACCCCUGGUCUGGGGUUUGGGUGGUAGACUGGAGCCACUGUGUGACUGGAGCAGGUUUCUUGGAUGCAAUGGUUAGAUCUUAGAAAUUAAAGCAAUUUAGCCCUGCCUCACCCCAACCAGCAAACAUCCCCAUGCCAGGGCUGGGGCUGAGGAUGCUCUGGAAUCCUCCCAGCCCCUCACCAGCCCACAGGGACCCAACCAGGGCCCUGGGGACCACACAAGCCAUCCCCACCCAUGGCCUCACCAAACUCUCCCAUGUCCCUGGGCUGGAUGAGGCUGCGGCUGGGUUUCCAGGGAGGGAUGCACGGCAGGAUGGCGUGGCCAUGGCCCAGGGCUGGCUCCCCAGACAGCGCUGCCACGCUGCUCCUCAGCAGCUCUGUUCUAUCAUCGAAUUUUAAUUUAGUUAGUUGAGUUCUUUAAACAGUGUGAACUUGCUAAGUGCUUUGCAUAUUUUAUACUCAUGAGUAACAUUUAUCAAACAGAAAGUACAAUUAAUCAAAGAGGGGAGCGUUUGUAACUUGGAGCAGUUUGUAUUCUCUCUCUUUUCCUCCCUGCUGUACCUUUCCUCUGUGUCUCCCUCCUCUUCCUCUUCACUGCUCUGCACUGGCCAGGGAACCAGGACACACAUAUUCCCUCUCUCCCACUUUUCUCUCACCAAAACCUGUAAACCAUACAAACACAUUAAAAUGUUUUUUAUAUUAUGUAUGUACGUAUGUAUAUUUGUACAUCUAUGUAUCUAUAUCUCUGUACCUAUACAUAUGUUUAUACCUAUAUCUAUCUGCCUAUCUGGUAUACAAAUACAUGUGUAUAUAUGAAUUAUGUAUAUGGUAUGCUGUAUAUAUAAUAUAUGUAGGAAUAAAUGGUCCAUUUACACUAUAUAUAUAUGUAUA